Herpailurus yagouaroundi (jaguarundi) is the source of this 1165-nucleotide long non-coding RNA. RefSeq lists it as uncharacterized. The record is from RefSeq and is a predicted model, not a curated record. The transcript has 3 exons. Lineage: Eukaryota; Metazoa; Chordata; Mammalia; Carnivora; Felidae.
GCCUCACAACUGAAGGCAGGGCGAACGCAUGCGCAACGUCACGUGGCUCGCUGAGCCUCCAAGUGAAGGUGGAAAAAAACGUCUCUUGAAGUCUUUCGGAAAGCAUUUGCAGUCAACUAAAGGUGAACGUGCGUAUCUUCAAGUAGAUUCAUGGGGAAAACUCUGAAUGAAAACCUGACCUCACAGAUCCUUAUUAAGACCAUCCAAAGGGCUCUGUAAGCAAAUGACGGAUGCUUCCGUGCUCUGCCCUGAAAACUAACCACGUCUGUGACACCGGUGCACCAGCCAUCACUAAAGACAUUCAAACCGCAAACCAGGAAAGCUGGAAGCUGGAUUAUCACAGCCAUCUUCACCCCGCCGUCUAAAGAGGUUUUGAUCCCAGCCUCCAGGAGUCUUUUUGACUGACUUCCAUCUGAUCCCCAAAAUUGGAUUUAGAAUUUGCUUCAUUCAUUCAUUUUUGGUUUUCUUUUGGUUUCCACAGGAAUGCUGCUUCCUGAAAAGUAAGUUUCAAUGGGCAGAAUGAAAGGUAUCAGAAUAUGCCACCCCCAAAGGUGCCUCUUUGUCAUAGGGAUUAGUUUGAGCUAAAUGCAAUUGAGGACCAGCAUAUGUAGGAAAAGCUCUUCAGCUCCCCUUACUACCUAAAAUGGAGUACAAUUUUCCCCUUUUGUAAAGGAAAAUUUACAUUUAAAAAAGGAAAUUGCCAUUGGUAAAGAUGUCUCUCACCAGGGAGAGACAGAUCUACACCCAGAGACAACUCACCUGAGAGACUCUUAUCUGCAGAGCAAGGCAACCCUUAUUUACUAUAUAUUUUCUGCCUUCCCCUUUCCAAAACAUGCCUCUCCCGCCUAGAAGCUCAAACCUCUUUUCUUUUGUUUAGCCUAAGAUCAUAUAUAAAGCCUCAUUCAUCUAGCUGCCUCCUUGAGUUUUCAUUUUGUUGAAGCAAAAUGUAUAUGCAUGUAUAUGCAUAUAGCCUUCUCUCUCUCUCUCUCUCUCUUGUUCAUCUGUUUCUUAUCAGUUUCAUUGGAGGGCUUGGUUGGUGAACCUAGGAAGGUAGAGGGGAAAAAAGGCUUUCCUUCCCUUCACUGUCAAAGACCCUGGAAAUGAGUGAGGCUAGGGGUUCUGAAGUAGUGCACAGAUGGGGGGCUGAUACAUACAAAUAGUAAGU